RNAcentral lists this ribosomal RNA (165 nucleotides) under Cynodon dactylon (Bermuda grass). RNAcentral describes it as "5.8S ribosomal RNA". It matches the Rfam family "5.8S ribosomal RNA". Rfam says of the family: 5.8S ribosomal RNA (5.8S rRNA) is a component of the large subunit of the eukaryotic ribosome. It is transcribed by RNA polymerase I as part of the 45S precursor that also contains 18S and 28S rRNA. Functionally, it is thought that 5.8S rRNA may be involved in ribosome translocation. The record is from RNAcentral. Lineage: Eukaryota; Viridiplantae; Streptophyta; Magnoliopsida; Poales; Poaceae.
UCACAUGACUCUCGGCAACGGAUAUCUCGGCUCUUGCAUCGAUGAAGAACGUAGCAAAAUGCGAUACCUGGUGUGAAUUGCAGAAUCCCGUGAACCAUCGAGUUUUUGAACGCAAGUUGCGCCCGAGGCCUUGUGGCCGAGGGCACGUCUGCCUGGGCGUCACGC